CGGCUCGCUGCGGAAUGAUUGAACUUCCCCGGUUUUAGGAGGCUCGCAGAAGGAAGUCGGGAGGCGAGACUGGAGAGGGAGUAGUCCGGUGCUGCGCGCGGGGGAACUAGCUGGAGUGCGAGGCGGGAACACGACCUCGUCCAGACCUCGGAAUUCACAGAAAGUUCAGCAUCUAUUGUUGGGGUGAUUGGACCCAACACCAGAUCGUGGAGGUGACAAAGUCCGGCAGAAUGAAAAAAAUGAGAAAAGACAGUUUGAGAGAGAAAGUGGGUCUGGGGGCCAAUGUGAGUUUGGAGGCUGCAAAGGUGCAGAGCACCAGACUAUUGGUGAUCAAACAAAGAAACAGGUGGUGAGAAUAUGGGGUUGAAAGGGAGCAUUGCAUUAAGCACAUGAUUUACAGCUCUGACGGUUUAGCAUAUGCUCUGCUACUUGAGAUAAUGGAGAGCAUGUUCUUUUAACUCAAGAUACAAUAGAUUCGGGGAGAGCAAAGAGCCAGCAAGUCCAGACACAUUCCAGAGGCCAUGAGCCCUGAAUUCUAUCCAAGCCACGAGGAGUUUUAUGCCCUGGGCUUAGAUUAUGGUGUGUCAGGGUAGCCUUCCACCCUUUAGCACAGAGCUUGGUGUUCCAAAGGCCACGAGGGGUUUUAGACCCUGAACCCCAGACAUGUUUCAAGACUCUUUUACAUUAUGUCAGACUUGCAAGCCCUGCCUCAGCUUCUCUCCUAACACUCAGCUUUUCUCCCAAUAUCUAUUAAAUAGCUCCUAUGUACAAAUCAGUGUGCUGGGUACCUUGGUCACAGUGGGCAGCAACAUUUGAUCAGUCUCUGGCUACAUGAACUUUAGAAAUGCUUAGAUAAAAAAGGUACAUAU
Rhinopithecus roxellana (golden snub-nosed monkey) is the source of this 869-nucleotide long non-coding RNA. RefSeq lists it as uncharacterized. The record is from RefSeq and is a predicted model, not a curated record. NCBI's taxonomy places the organism in Eukaryota, Metazoa, Chordata, Mammalia, Primates, Cercopithecidae. The transcript has 3 exons.